Molecule: transfer RNA, 85 nt
Organism: Felis catus (domestic cat)
Lineage: Eukaryota; Metazoa; Chordata; Mammalia; Carnivora; Felidae
Rfam family: tRNA
About the family: Transfer RNA (tRNA) molecules are approximately 80 nucleotides in length.
Source: Rfam
GCCUGGGUGGCUCAAUCGGUUGAGUGUCCGACUUCAGCUCAGGUCAUGAUCUCGCAGUUUGUGGGUUUGAACCCCGCAUCGGGCU